GAUGAACGCUGGCGGCGUGCCUAAUACAUGCAAGUCGAGCGAACGGACGAGAAGCUUGCUUCUCUGAUGUUAGCGGCGGACGGGUGAGUAACACGUGGAUAACCUACCUAUAAGACUGGGAUAACUUCGGGAAACCGGAGCCAAUACCGGAUAAUAUUUUGAACCGCAUGGUUCAAAAGUGAAAGACGGUCUUGCUGUCACUUAUAGAUGGAUCCGCGCUGCAUUAGCUAGUUGGUAAGGUAACGGCUUACCAAGGCAACGAUGCAUAGCCGACCUGAGAGGGUGAUCGGCCACACUGGAACUGAGACACGGUCCAGACUCCUACGGGAGGCAGCAGUAGGGAAUCUUCCGCAAUGGGCGAAAGCCUGACGGAGCAACGCCGCGUGAGUGAUGAAGGUCUUCGGAUCGUAAAACUCUGUUAUUAGGGAAGAACAUAUGUGUAAGUAACUGUGCACAUCUUGACGGUACCUAAUCAGAAAGCCACGGCUAACUACGUGCCAGCAGCCGCGGUAAUACGUAGGUGGCAAGCGUUAUCCGGAAUUAUUGGGCGUAAAGCGCGCGUAGGCGGUUUUUUAAGUCUGAUGUGAAAGCCCACGGCUCAACCGUGGAGGGUCAUUGGAAACUGGAAAACUUGAGUGCAGAAGAGGAAAGUGGAAUUCCAUGUGUAGCGGUGAAAUGCGCAGAGAUAUGGAGGAACACCAGUGGCGAAGGCGACUUUCUGGUCUGUAACUGACGCUGAUGUGCGAAAGCGUGGGGAUCAAACAGGAUUAGAUACCCUGGUAGUCCACGCCGUAAACGAUGAGUGCUAAGUGUUAGGGGGUUUCCGCCCCUUAGUGCUGCAGCUAACGCAUUAAGCACUCCGCCUGGGGAGUACGACCGCAAGGUUGAAACUCAAAGGAAUUGACGGGGACCCGCACAAGCGGUGGAGCAUGUGGUUUAAUUCGAAGCAACGCGAAGAACCUUACCAAAUCUUGACAUCCUUUGACAACUCUAGAGAUAGAGCUUUCCCCUUCGGGGGACAAAGUGACAGGUGGUGCAUGGUUGUCGUCAGCUCGUGUCGUGAGAUGUUGGGUUAAGUCCCGCAACGAGCGCAACCCUUAAGCUUAGUUGCCAUCAUUAAGUUGGGCACUCUAAGUUGACUGCCGGUGACAAACCGGAGGAAGGUGGGGAUGACGUCAAAUCAUCAUGCCCCUUAUGAUUUGGGCUACACACGUGCUACAAUGGACAAUACAAAGGGCAGCGAAACCGUGAGGUCAAGCAAAUCCCAUAAAGUUGUUCUCAGUUCGGAUUGUAGUCUGCAACUCGACUACAUGAAGCUGGAAUCGCUAGUAAUCGUAGAUCAGCAUGCUACGGUGAAUACGUUCCCGGGUCU
RNAcentral lists this ribosomal RNA (1372 nucleotides) under uncultured bacterium. RNAcentral's name for it is "bacterial SSU rRNA". It matches the Rfam family "Bacterial small subunit ribosomal RNA", at positions 28 to 1381 of the family's 1533-position model. The record is from RNAcentral.